UACGGGGGGGGCAAGCGUUGUUCGGAAUUACUGGGCGUAAAGGGCUCGUAGGCGGCCAACUAAGUCAGACGUGAAAUCCCUCAGCUUAACUGGGGAACUGCGUCUGAUACUGGAUGGCUUGGAUUUGGGAGAGGGAUGCGGAAUUCCAGGUGUAGCGGUGAAAUGCGUAGAUAUCUGGAGGAACACCGGUGGCGAAGGCGGCAUCCUGGACCAAUAUUGACGCUGAGGAGCGAAAGCCAGGGGAGCAAACGGG
RNAcentral lists this ribosomal RNA (253 nucleotides) under uncultured bacterium. Its description in RNAcentral is "partial 16S ribosomal RNA". It matches the Rfam family "Bacterial small subunit ribosomal RNA", at positions 524 to 776 of the family's 1533-position model. The record is from RNAcentral.